This 440-nucleotide ribosomal RNA is filed under the name uncultured bacterium. RNAcentral describes it as "partial 16S ribosomal RNA". It matches the Rfam family "Bacterial small subunit ribosomal RNA", at positions 338 to 795 of the family's 1533-position model. The record is from RNAcentral.
CCUACGGGAGGCAGCAGUAGGGAAUAUUGCUCAAUGGGGGAAACCCUGAAGCAGCAACGCCGCGUGGAGGAUGAAGGUUUUCGGAUUGUAAACUCCUUUUGUUAGAGAAGAUAGUGACGGUAUCUAACGAAUAAGCACCGGCUAACUCCGUGCCAGCAGCCGCGGUAAUACGGAGGGUGCAAGCGUUACUCGGAAUCACUGGGCGUAAAGAGCGCGUAGGCGGGAUAGCAAGUCAGAUGUGAAAUCCUAGGGCUUAACCAUAGAACUGCAUCUGAAACUGGUAGUCUAGAGUAUGGGAGAGGUAGGUAGAAUUCUUGGUGUAGGGGUAAAAUCCGUAGAGAUCAAGAGGAAUACCGAUUGCGAAGGCGACCUGCUAGAACAUAACUGACGCUGAUGUGCGAAAGCGUGGGGAGCAAACAGGAUUAGAUACCCGAGUAGUC